AAUUCAAUGCCAUGAACAGGCAUCAAAUGCUUUCCAGUGGGAGGUAGUGCUGCAGCAAAAGAAGGUGCAACUGGAAUAUGCAUGUAAUUAUUACCCCUUUGAUUUGCAAAGUGGGGCACUGCCUUGUUGGGUUGAAAUUGCUGGUCACUCUGCAUCAGACGCCCACCUUGGAUUAAAAAGUCAAAGAGAAUGAUGGAUUUUUUUGGCUUUGGGUUGGUGAUUAUUUGGUUUCCAAUUGGAAGAAGGUUCCUAAAAAGAGAAGAACACUAUAUAGCGAAUCAAUGUAUUGCCAUCCUGCAUAAAGAGCUGUCUAUUCUAAACGAACAACUACCAGAAUCAAACAGUUCAUCUUCGUGACUUUGUCAUUGCCUUCUUAUGUAUAAACAAAACCAGAGGCAAUCUGUCCCAAAACCCAAUCCCCUAGAGCGUUGUAAUGCUAGACUACGUCACAGGUUUCAGCAACUGACGGAAAUAUUCAGCCUGGCAAACUUGCAUCACUUGGUAAUACGCAGUAAUCCCAACUAUCAUUUUAAUCUUCCCUACUUCCUUCACAGCACGAUACCUCUUUAUGGUUACCGCAAUGUACAUUCUCGCACCUCAAACCGCUUUUAAAUAGAAACCACACUAAAUAUAAGGGUUCCUUCACCAAUCAAAGAGGAUUUACCAAAGCAAUCUAAAUUAGAUUAUAACACGAAAGAAGACCACCAGGCGAACACAGUUCCUGCUAUAAUUCACAAAUGAAGCAGCCCACGGCAUGUUGCUCUCCUCCACCAAAUCCAAAUGAGUAUGUAAAUGAACUUGCCACUAAUUUUUAAUCUUUUACUAAUAAGAGUCCAAGAAAACAGAAACCCAAAGCUCAGAACUGAAGAUCUGGAAAAAAAAAAAAAGAUUUUCGCUGAAGAU
RNAcentral lists this unclassified non-coding RNA (903 nucleotides) under Hevea brasiliensis (rubber tree). Lineage: Eukaryota; Viridiplantae; Streptophyta; Magnoliopsida; Malpighiales; Euphorbiaceae. The record is from RNAcentral.